This 5259-nucleotide long non-coding RNA is filed under the name Sus scrofa (pig). RNAcentral describes it as "lncRNA (ENSSSCG00005022668.1)". The record is from RNAcentral. Lineage: Eukaryota; Metazoa; Chordata; Mammalia; Artiodactyla; Suidae.
UUUUUUAUUUUUUAUUUUUUUAUUUUUAGGGGCGCACCUGCAGCAUAUGGAAAUUCCCAGGCUAGGGGUCAAAUUAGAACCACAGCUGCCGGUCUAUGCCUCAGCCAUAGCAAUGCCAGAUCUGAGCCAUCUCUGUGACCUACACCACAGCUCACAGCAACACUGGAUACUUAACCCACUGAGCUAGGCCACGUAUUGAACUCAUGCCACAUUGGGAACUCCUGGGUUGUAUUUUUGAUCAGCUCUGACAAUCUCUGUUUUUUAACUGGUGUAUUUAAACCAUUGAUAUUCCAAGUGAUUAUUGAUAUAGUUGGAUUAAUAUUUACUGUUUUGUUAGUGUUUUCUUCUUGUUUUCUGUUCUUACUUUUGUUUUCCAUUCUUUUUCUGCCUUUUGCGAUUUUUAAAUGAGCAUUUUAUUUUUAUUUUUAUUUAUUUUUUGUCUCUGUCUUCUCAGGGCCGCACUCACAGCACAUGGAGGUUCCCAGUCUAGGGGUCUAAUUGGAGCUGUUGCCACCGGCCUAUGCCACAGCCACAGCAACGUGGGAUCCGAGUCAUGUCUACAACCUACACCACAGCUCACGGCAAUGCUGGAUCCUUAACCCACUGAGCGAGGCCAGGGAUCGAACCCACAACCUCAUGGUUCCUGGUCGGAUUUGUUUUGGUUGUGCCAGGAUGGGAACUCCAUAAUGAGCAUUUUAUAUCUUUCCAUUUUUUUUCCUUUCUUAGUGUAUCAGUUAUACAUUUUUUAAAAAACUUUUUAAACUGGUUUCCCUAGAGUUUGCAAUAUACCUUUACAACUAAUUCGAUUCAAUUUCAAAUAACACUCAAUAACAAAAUAAUCCCAGUUGCACCCUCCUGUCUCUUGUAUCUUUGCUGUUACUCAUUUCACUUAUAUGUAAGCAUAAGUAAACAAAGAACUGAAUAUAGUUUUGCUGUUAUUAUUUUAAAUAAACUUACAUAUUAGCUCAGUUAGAAAUCAGAAAAAGGAAGGUUUUUAUUUUCUCUCUGCGCGUCCUGUCUCCAGCCCACGUCCCUUCUUGAUGCAGGUCCACAUGUCCGACCUCUGUCAUUUUCCUUCUCUCUGAAGAGCUUCUUUCACCAGGUCUUGCGAGGCAGCCCUGCUGCCAACGAAUGUCCCCAGUUUCCAUUUGUCUGAGAACAUCUUUAUUUCUCCUUCGGUUUUGAAAGGUAUUUCGCAAGAUCAGAAUUUUAGUCUGUUUUUUGUCUCUCAACCCUGGAAGUAUCUCACUCCCUCCUCUUCUGGCUGGCAUCACUUCUGAGACGUCAAAUGUAGCUCUUACCUUUGCUCCUCUAUAGGUAAAGUGUCCAUACCGCCCCCCAUCCCCGGCUUUUUUCAAGAUUUUUUUUUUUAGCUCUGACUUUCUGGCAUUUGAAUAUGAUAUGCUUAGGUGUAGUUUUUUUGUCUUUUGUGGUUUUUUUUGACUUAGCAUCCUGUGAGCUUUCUGAAUCUGUGGUUUGGUGUCUGACAUUAAUUGGGGGGAAAUUAUCAGGCAUUAUUGCUGUAAGUAUUGCUUCUGAUUUCUUCUGGUAUCCCUAUUAUUUACCUGUUACACCUUUUGUAAGUUCUCCAAAGUGCUUGGGUAUUCUGGGGUUUUUUUUCCCCCCAAUCUUUUUCCUUUGUCCUCAGUUUUGUAAGUUUCUAUUUUAUUUAUUUAUUUGGUCUUUUGAGGGCCACACCCAUGGCAUAUGCAAGUUCCCAGGCUAGGGGUCUAAUUGGAGCUUUAGCUGCUGGCCUACAGCACAGCCACAGCAACGCCAGAUCUGAGCCACCUCUUCGACCUACGCCAUAGCUCAUGGCAACGCCGGAUCGUUAACCCACUGAGCGAGGCCAGGGAUCAAACCUGUGUCCUCGUGGAUGCUAGUCAGAUGGUUCCCAGUGAGCCAUGAUGGGAACUCUGUAAGUUUCUAUCAUAAUAACCUCAAGUUAAGAGAUUCUUUCUUCCAUUGUAUCGGGUCUACUAAUGAGCCCAUCAAAGGCUUUCUUCAUUUCUUAGAGUGUUUUUGAUCUCGAGCGUUUUUUCUGAUCCUUUGUUGGAAUUCCUCUCUCUCUGCUUACAUUGUCUUCUUCUGCCAUUGAAACCUUUAGCACACGAGUCACAGUUUUUCUAAAUUCCUAGGCGGAUAAUUCCAACUUUUCUGCCGUGUAGGACUCCGUUUCUGAUGCUUGUUCUGUCUCUUCAAACUGUGAUUUUUGCCUUUUAGAACGCCCCGUUAUUUUUGUUGACAGCCGCACACACCGUACUGGGUAAAAGGAGUGACAGUGAGUAGACCUUUGCUGACGUGGUGGUGACAGGCGGGUGGAGGAAAGUGCUCGGUGAGGUCUCCGUCUUUUGGGGACCCCGUGCCUCUGAACCGAGGACUUCACCCCCUUCUCAUUCCUUCCCUGGCUGGCCGGAGGGGGCUGGAGGUGUGUGUUUUUCCUCUCCACGUGGAAGGCUGGAGGUAGUGACGUCCCCCCAACCCCAGGUAGGUUAGGCUUAGGUGGAAUGGUUUCUUCUGAAGGCCACUUGUAAAGCCCCGAGUGCUGGGUGUAUUUCACAGUGUCCCCCCACCCCCACCCCGCAGAAGCAUCAGGGAUUUUUCUCCGUUCUUCGUUGUGGGGAGCAGGUGGAGCUCUCAGAGACGGCCGUCACGGAACUCUGAGGACACCCUGACACUGGGUAACUGGGUCCCCCUCCAGCUUUUCCCUGUUGGAGCCACCCCCACUGAGCCCCCCGCAAUUCAUCAUUCCCCGUUUAGCUUUUCCUACUUCAGCCCUGGUUCCCUUGGGAGUGUGUGCUUCUGACUUUCUGUUCAGGCAAGUUGUGAAUUUCUGUGUUUGCCUGUCUGUGUCUCCACUUUGGAGGGCAGUGGUUUUCCCUGUGUCCUCACCUUUCUGCUGGAUUGAAGAGUUGUUGGUUAGUUAGUUUGCUUAGCUUUUUUUUACUUGUCGUUAGGAUGGAGUGGUGACUUUUCAGCUUCUUAUGUGCUGGAUCUGAAACCCUAAACUAUUUUUUAAAAACUUAAGGGAGUUCUCGUCGUGGCGCAUGGUUAAUAAAUCCGACGAGGAACCAUGAGGUUGCGGGCUCGAUCCCUGGCCUUGUUCAGUGGGUUAAGGAUCUGGCGUUGCCUUAACCUAUGGUGCAGGUUGCAGACACAGCUCGGAUCCCGAGUUGCUGUGGCUCUGGCAUAGGCUGGCAACUACAGCUCUGAUUAGACCCCUAGCGUGGGAACCUCCCUAUGCCGCGGGAGCGGCCCAAGAAAUGGCAAAAAGACAAAAACAAACAAACAAACAAACAAAAAAACGUAAGUUAUUAUGGCAUCUUUAUAGAGCAUCAAAGAUUUUCCAAAAUAUAAUUUACAAUAGUACUCUGUCGUGAGGUAUCACAUAUUUAAUAACUUAUUCCUUUUAAUUGGACAUUUAUGGUUUUAUUUUCAAUUUUGACUUCACUUUUACUUUCUCUUCUUUUGCCAUUAUAAAUAAGGAAGGAUGGACCUCCUUCUAGCUAAAUCCUUUUUUUUUGGCUGCACCUAUGGCAUAUGAAAGUUCCCAGGCCAGGGACUGAAUCCAAGUUGCAGAUGCAACCUACCCCCCAGCUAUGGUAAUGCUGCAUCCUUAACCCACUGUGCCAGACUGGGAACCAAACCCACACUUGCCACAGAGACAACCCUGGAUCUUUCACCUGCUACACCACAGUGGGAACUCUGGAGCUAAAGCUUAAUGCGUAUUCAUUUCCUUUCCAUUUGUCAGUGGAAAAUUCCUAGCAAUGCCCGACUGUGGUGUGGUCAUUUUCAUGCUGCAGGAACAUUGAUCAUGGCUUGGGUCUUUCCUAUGUGAAAGUUUAUGGCAGGAAAUGUAAAUGGGGAAAAGAUGAAAGAAGAUUUUAAAUCUUAGCUGGAGAUAAAAACAUAGACAGUUAAAUUUGUAAAAGAAGAUGCUUUAAAAAAAAAAACAGAAUUCUUCUCUAUCAAAGUAGUUCAUGUUGUAAUCCCUUGUAAUUUUGCUUUUCUUUGGAUUUAGGGCACAAAUGUGAGAUUUAAGGUGUGUUCUAAUGAAAAGAUCCAUUUAAGGAAUACCAAUUUAUGCAAAGUAUUGCUAUCUCUAAACCUCACAGUAAUUCCACAAAAUGGGUAUUAAUAGCUACACAGUUUAGGAGAGAAACUCAAUCUCAGAGAGGUUACUUGAUUUCCUGUAGCCAUACAACUAGAAAUGGACAAAUUCAGGAUUCAAGCUCUUGGACUGUCUUCUCUCUGGUUGCCUUUUUAUUUUUCUUUCUUGGGCUGCACCUGCAUCAUAUGGAAAUUCUCAGGCUAGGGUUGAAUUGGAGCUGUAGCUGCAGUCAUACACUGCAGCCAAAGCAACACCAGAUCUGAAUCCCAUCCUCGACCUAUGCUGCAGCCGUGGCAAUUCUGGAUCCUUAACCCACGGAGCAAGGCCAGGGAUAGAACCCACAUCCGCAUGGAUACCAUGUUGAGUUCGUAACCCAUCAAGCCACAAUGGGAACUCCCUGAUUGCUUUUUAUAUGUCACUUUGCUAUUCUCCUAAUAUUUGGUAGCACUUAAGAAUUAGUAUUGAAUGGGGUCCACCACCUAGAACUGGCUUGACUAAGAGAAUCAUUCAAAAUAAAAUAUCUACUGGUGGGUCUUUUCGGAAAGUGAGAGGGUGGACUCCCAGAGCUGAAUAGGAAAGCUAAGUUUGGUCAAGUCCAAAGGAUGAACUCAGUAGCCAAAACAGAGAAAUACUGGCAGCUAAGAGGCCGUAGGAGGAGACCGGGAGAUGGAGCAAGGAGAGGAAGAAGUGGAGAGGGACUCAGAUAGCUGUCAUGAAAGGCGCAAAAUGCCUCCUAAUGAUUCUUAUUGGGUUCUGUGACUUGCUGGUUGCUUGACCUGAUUUAAAGGCACCUGCUAAGUAUUCAAAGGAUGGUGGCAGAGAGGGAGCUCAGAUCCCGGUCUGCAGGACCGGGGAGCCCCCACACCACUGUCAUAGAUAGGCUCUAUUGAGGGCAGACUCACUUGGUUUAUUUCCAAGGAGUUAGACUGGGUCCAUGGAGAAAUGAUGCUGCAUGUACAUGGAACUGGAAGUUGGCUGGGGAGGAGUUGUUUCCCUCGGACUUCAUCCUGUCACUUAGAAGUCAGUAGAGCCAGUGAAGUGGACAGUUGUGUGACGAAUGGGUCGUGAGGGAGAAGGAAGAGAAGACAGGUGUUGAAUGAGAGUAUCCCACUCAAUUGGUAGGGAGAGAAAACCUUUCCAGAGGUGUG